CCUACGGGAGGCAGCAGUGAGGAAUAUUGGUCAAUGGACGCAAGUCUGAACCAGCCAUGCCGCGUGCAGGAAGACGGCUCUAUGAGUUGUAAACUGCUUUUGUACGAGGGUAAACGCAGAUACGCGUAUCUGUCUGAAAGUAUCUUACGAAUAAGGAUCUGCUAACUCCGUGCCAGCAGCCGCGGUAAUACGGAGGAUUCAAGCGUUAUCCGGAUUUAUUGGGUUUAAAGGGUGCGUAGGCGGUCGGAUAAGUUAGAGGUGAAAUCCCGAGGCUCAACUUCGGAAUUGCCUCUGAUACUGUUAGGCUAGAGAGUAGUUGCGGUAGGCGGAAUGUAUGGUGUAGCGGUGAAAUGCUUAGAGAUCAUACAGAACACCGAUUGCGAAGGCAGCUUACCAAGCUACGUCUGACGUUGAGGCACGAAAGCGUGGGGAGCAAACAGGAUUAGAUACCCCAGUAGUC
This 460-nucleotide ribosomal RNA is filed under the name uncultured bacterium. Its description in RNAcentral is "partial 16S ribosomal RNA". It matches the Rfam family "Bacterial small subunit ribosomal RNA", at positions 338 to 795 of the family's 1533-position model. The record is from RNAcentral.